UCAUGCCUGGCUCCCUGUAUGCCACAAGUGGGUAUCAAUUUUGGUUGAAAAAUUGGCUGCUGGUGGCGUACGAGGAGCCAAGCAUGA
Non-coding RNA from Brassica napus (rape), 87 nucleotides. Lineage: Eukaryota; Viridiplantae; Streptophyta; Magnoliopsida; Brassicales; Brassicaceae. The record is from Rfam.